GGAGGAGUGGCCGAGUGGUCGAAGGCGGCGGUCUUGAAAACCGCUAAUCCCUCGUGGAUUCGCGGGUUCGAAUCCUGCCUCCUCCGCCA
RNAcentral lists this transfer RNA (89 nucleotides) under Deltaproteobacteria bacterium. RNAcentral describes it as "tRNA-Ser". It matches the Rfam family "tRNA". Rfam says of the family: Transfer RNA (tRNA) molecules are approximately 80 nucleotides in length. Their secondary structure includes four short double-helical elements and three loops (D, anti-codon, and T loops). Lineage: Bacteria; Pseudomonadati; Myxococcota; Myxococcia. The record is from RNAcentral.